CAAGCGCGAUGUGGUUCUUGUAUUCGCCGUUUCCAUUCGUCAUCUUCGUGAAAUCCGCUGUAGCAAAGCAUGCGUACAAGGUUCUUUUCAGCGGAACCUUCUGAGGUGGAGUUUUCGAGAUGUAAACAAUCAAAGAUCUUCUUUUGUUGCAGCAAUCGUUGGGCUACACGUUGUUUUAGUUUAAGCAAAUCGUUCGGACUAAC
Molecule: non-coding RNA, 203 nt
Organism: Schizosaccharomyces pombe (fission yeast)
Lineage: Eukaryota; Fungi; Ascomycota; Schizosaccharomycetes; Schizosaccharomycetales; Schizosaccharomycetaceae
Source: the annotation of a GenBank genome assembly